GCUCUUGAUUGAAGUCCCAGUAAACGGCGGCCGUAACUAUAACGGUCCUAAGGUAGCGAAAUUCCUUGUCGGGUAAGUUCCGACCUGCACGAAUGGCGUAACGAUGGCCACACUGUCUCCUCCCGAGACUCAGCGAAGUUGAAAUGUUUGUGAUGAUGCAAUCUACCCGCGGCUAGACGGAAAGACCCCAUGAACCUUUACUGUAGCUUUGCAUUGGACUUUGAACCAAUCUGUGUAGGAUAGGUGGGAGGCUUUGAAGCAGGGACGCUAGUCUCUGUGGAGCCAACCUUGAAAUACCACCCUGGUUUGUUUGAGGUUCUAACCUUGGUCCGUUAUCCGGAUCGGGGACAGUGCAUGGUAGGCAGUUUGACUGGGGCGGUCUCCUCCCAAAGUGUAACGGAGGAGUUCGAAGGUACGCUAGGUACGGUCGGACAUCGUGCUAAUAGUGCAAUGGCAUAAGCGUGCUUAACUGCGAGACUGACAAGUCGAGCAGGUACGAAAGUAGGACAUAGUGAUCCGGUGGUUCUGUAUGGAAGGGCCAUCGCUCAACGGAUAAAAGGUACUCUGGGGAUAACAGGCUGAUUCCUCCCAAGAGUUCAUAUCGACGGGGGAGUUUGGCACCUCGAUGUCGGCUCAUCACAUCCUGGGGCUGUAGCCGGUCCCAAGGGUAUGGCUGUUCGCCAUUUAAAGUGGUACGUGAGCUGGGUUUAAAACGUCGUGAGACAGUUUGGUCCCUAUCUGCCGUGGGCGUUGGAAGUUUGAAGGGGGCUGCUCCUAGUACGAGAGGACCGGAGUGGACGAACCUCUGGUGUAUCGGUUGUCACGCCAGUGGCAUUGCCGAGUAGCUAAGUUCGGAAGAGAUAACCGCUGAAAGCAUCUAAGCGGGAAACUCGCCUUGAGAUGAGACUUCCCGGGAACUAGAUUCCCCUAAAGGGUCGUUCGAGACCAGGACGUUGAUAGGUCAGGUGUGGAAGCGCAGUAAUGCGUUAAGCUAACUGAUACUAAUUGCCCGUGCGGCUUGUUCCU
Molecule: ribosomal RNA, 1026 nt
Filed under: soil metagenome
Description: bacterial LSU rRNA
Rfam family: Bacterial large subunit ribosomal RNA
Source: RNAcentral